RNAcentral lists this ribosomal RNA (348 nucleotides) under Oniscidea sp. JXAUM-L14082. RNAcentral describes it as "partial 12S ribosomal RNA". Lineage: Eukaryota; Metazoa; Arthropoda; Malacostraca; Isopoda. The record is from RNAcentral. RNAcentral also lists the same sequence under 1 other name.
CCCUAUUAUUUUAAAAUUAUCAGAAGUGGGGUAGUAAUAGUUAUUUUCCUUAAACCCAGAGAACUUGGCGGCAUUUGACCCUUUCAGAGGAACCCGUCUUAGAAUCGAAAUGACACGGUUUAUCUUACCUUGAUAAACUCAUAUACCGUCAUUUAAAUACCUUUUAAAUAAAGCUAUUUUUACAGGGCUCAAACUUGUUAGAUUAGGUGUGGUAUUUUUAGGCAUAGAUAGGUUACAAUUUCAGUAUAAGUGAAAUUUAGAAGGAAUUUUUUGUGUGAAAUAGGAUUUGAUAGUAAUUUUUUUAAAUAAAGAAAAAUGAACAGGCUCUCACAUGUGCACAUAUCGCCC